CAGCAGAUGAGAGUAACUGUCUUAGCUGUGCUGCAGCUUUGAAUGCUGCCUCAACCUAUGCUUUUUUUCUUCUUUCACAGGUGUCUCGCACAGGCUCAGAGGUGCAAACUGCACCCUGAAGAGCAGCACGAGAAGGGGGCUGGUCAUGAGCUUGGUUGGAGUGGAAUGGCCAAGUAGCGCGAGGUGACUAAGGAGUGUCUCUGUCUUGCUUUGCAGGUGCCAUGGCUAGCUCUCCACAGAAAUGGCUGAGGAUUUGAGAUAAGGCUGGAGAGCGACAAGGAGCAGCACAUGCAGUGAUGGUUUCCAAGCGCUGCGGUUGCUUUCUCUUCUGGUUAUCAGGUGCCACAGGCAAGGUGGAGAUGUGCCUGAAGCCCAUCCCGUGUAGGCUGAGCACGCCUCGCUGAGGAUGAAGCCUCCUUUCCAGCAGUUCCCAAAGGCACGUUGGGGCUGAAAGGCCGUGUCUGUAUUUGGGCUGGGGUCGUGCCUUGGAGAGUGUGGGGAUGGGUUUUAAGUCAGUGCAGCAGAUACGUAUAUAAAUGAAAUUCACAUAAAUGAUAUAUGAUGAA
Long non-coding RNA from Oxyura jamaicensis (ruddy duck), 566 nucleotides. RefSeq lists it as uncharacterized. NCBI's taxonomy places the organism in Eukaryota, Metazoa, Chordata, Aves, Anseriformes, Anatidae. The transcript has 2 exons. The record is from RefSeq and is a predicted model, not a curated record.